GUUGAGUACUAUGUACAAGAAAUCAGACCCACUAACAGUUUUGUUUUCUCCUGGGAAAGUAACAUUCUGAAACUCUUAAAAAAUAAGCCCGAGAUAGUACCGUUAAAAGUGUCCUGCUCUCUGUAGAAAUGGUGAUGCCAAUGAAAUAUGGAGCUCUAAGGAUUCAUGGGCUCACUUUAUGCUAAAGACAUUUGCAUAGCUCCAAGGAAGCAAAUCACAUCAUCUGGGACCAAUCAGCCAGGAAGGCAAU
This 250-nucleotide unclassified non-coding RNA is filed under the name Hevea brasiliensis (rubber tree). The record is from RNAcentral. Lineage: Eukaryota; Viridiplantae; Streptophyta; Magnoliopsida; Malpighiales; Euphorbiaceae.